GCGAACGGGUGCGUAAUACGUGAGAAUCUGCCCUUAGGAGGAGUAUAACUGUUGGAAACGACUGCUAACACUCCAUAUGUCGAGAGAUGAAAUAAUUUAUUGCCUAAGGAUGAGCUCGCGCCUGAUUAGCUAGUUGGUGAGGUAAUGGCUCACCAAGGCCACGACCAGUAGCUGGUUUGAGAGAACGAUCAGCCACACUGGGACUGAGACACGGCCCAGACUCCUCCGGGAGGCAGCAGUGAGGAAUUUUCCGCAAUGGGCGAAAGCCUGACGGAGCAAUACCGCGUGAGGGAUGAAGGAUUUUGGUCUGUAAACCUCUUUUCUCAAGAAAGAAGUUCUGACGGUACUUGAGGAAUAAGCAUCGGCUAACUCCGUGCCAGCAGCCGCGGUAAUACGGGGGAUGCAAGCGUUAUCCGGAAUCAUUGGGCGUAAAGCGCCUGUAGGUUGUUUAAUAAGUCUGUUGUUAAAGACUAGGGCUCAACCCUAGGAAAGCAAUGGAAACUACUAGACUUGAGUA
This 517-nucleotide ribosomal RNA is filed under the name uncultured Halomicronema sp. RNAcentral's name for it is "bacterial SSU rRNA". It matches the Rfam family "Bacterial small subunit ribosomal RNA", at positions 98 to 648 of the family's 1533-position model. Lineage: Bacteria; Bacillati; Cyanobacteriota; Cyanophyceae; Nodosilineales; Nodosilineaceae. The record is from RNAcentral.